UAUGACCCAUCCCCCAAUCCCGAUUCAGCCGCCGCCAACCACACGUGGUAUCCUCCUUGAUUUCCCCUCCUGCCCAAUCCUGUGGAGCCUCCUCGCUUGACAGUGCCCGAGGCCACCUCCUCUGCUCGAUCCCAGGGGAAUCACAAGUAGCUCAUCCCCGGCAACCAGAUCGCUGGACGUGUCUAGCUCCCAGCAGACGCAAGCGCUCGCCCCGAACUCCUUGAUUCGCCGAGCACGAGCACCACCUCAUGAACGCCUCUUCGGUCGGCCGCCCUGCAGGAGCUUCAUCUGCGCCACCGUCCGGCCGUCGGACCAGCAUGUCCCCAGCUCAUGUCUUUUUUCCUUCUUGGUUCUCCUUCCUCCUACCCUUCUUCCUCCCCUUCUCUCAUGUCUCUCUUGCUCUAUUGCAUCAGGUUCCAGCCAGGGAGUAUGCCAUGAAUGGCUGGCCUUAAGCUUGUGUGGUGAGUCCCUCAAUCACCGGGAACGAGACCAAUGCCUCAAGAUCCGGCGCCCCAAGGCCUCGAUCCGGUUCGUCCCCGUCGCCUUCGGCCAGGACCUCAUCACCCUCGCCGUCCCCGUGUAGUUCUUGCCGGAUCACGCCUCUGCUUCGCCACUGACCAUCGACCCCGAGCCCCUGGUGAGCGCCCUGCCUACAACCCGCUUUGCUUCAUCGCUUGCACGCGAGACGAGCCAGCCCCCCGUAGCUCAUUUGCAUGCACGCACGCACGCACGCACCAACACACAUUCCCGCACGCCCGCAGCUGCUCUGCAUCGUUGUGAAGGCUUGGCCUUGCCCAGCUUAAGAAGCAGCGUCUAGCCUCUAAACACUCGCUCACAGCAAGCCUAGUUGGCUAGCAAGCCAGUCUUCCUUCCAAGAGAUAGUGGGUUCGAUUCCUAGUGAGCACACAUUUUACUCUAUUUUGGUAUUUUUUUUCCUAGAUUUGUUCCCCAUUUAGGGGAUACUAAGGUCCUGUUUCAUACUACUUUGGUCCUUAAAAUUCAUCUUUCUUCCACAAAAGACAAGCCAAACGAGGUAACUCCACGAUAUGCUGCUCCAUAAAAAAACUAGAAUGUGGGGUACAACUUCAAAGUUUUUAUGAAGCUCAAGAGGGUGCUUCAAAUAACUCUAAAAGUUGGAGUUGGGGGAAAAUUACCCACCACUGCCACCAGUAAGUGGAUACCCCUUCAUUUCUUUCUCCUCAACCAAUCAAAUAGAUUUUUUCCACCAAAAUUUCUAUUCUUGAAGCUGGAGCUACAUAGAAGCCAAACAUUCUCUUGAUAGUGCUAUAGCUUUUGUAUGAAACUACUCUAAAGUGAAUUUGAUGAAGUGAAACUGGUUUUGGUGAAUUGAAGCAGUCCUAAACAGGCCCUAAGAAAUGGAUUUAUGUUAGGACUCGAGCCCCAGUCGGAGAGGCUAGUACCUAGCGUGUCCAUUCAAGAGGUUUGGGAUCGAAACCCAAAGCCACCCCUAUUUUUUUUUUUCUUGUUCUGCUAUAUUUGUUAUUCCCUCUCGUUUUGCACUCAGUCAGUUCCUUGGGCCGAUUUCAGCCUUGGGUCGUUACACUACGUUGCAAUUCAGUCCAUGUAUAUUUCUUUCCACCUACAGUUUGCUAUUUGUUUCUUUAGAAAAACCAUUGAUUUUAAAAUGCUUGUACUGUGGUGAAUAACUUGUGUUGAUUCUUGUUUCCGGUUUGCUUCGUCUCGAUAGAGUUCCGUAAGCAUGUCGGAAUGUGAUGAUCCAUUCGACUACAUCGAUUCGUCUGCUUCACGGAGUCGUUCUUCUUCCAAGCGGGAUCAUAGGCANNNNN
RNAcentral lists this long non-coding RNA (1808 nucleotides) under Hordeum vulgare. Its description in RNAcentral is "long non-coding RNA (HVUL_LNC001113)". Lineage: Eukaryota; Viridiplantae; Streptophyta; Magnoliopsida; Poales; Poaceae. The record is from RNAcentral.